Molecule: ribosomal RNA, 382 nt
Filed under: Mougeotia sp. OTU336
Lineage: Eukaryota; Viridiplantae; Streptophyta; Zygnematophyceae; Zygnematales; Zygnemataceae
Also listed under: 1 other name
Description: SSU rRNA
Rfam family: Eukaryotic small subunit ribosomal RNA
Source: RNAcentral
CCAGCUCCAAUAGCGUAUAUUUAAGUUGUUGCAGUUAAAAAGCUCGUAGUUGGAUUUCGGGCGUGAGUGAUCGGUCUGCCGUUUUGGUUGAACUGUUCUGCUCUUGCCUUCUUGCCGGGGACGUGUCCUGGCCUUCAUUGGCUGGGGCUCGGAGUCGGCGAUGUUACUUUGAAAAAAUUAGAGUGUUCAAAGCAGGCCUACGCUCUGAAUACAUUAGCAUGGAAUAACGCUAUAGGACUCGGGUCCUAUUGUGUUGGUUUUCAGGACCGGAGUAAUGAUUAAUAGGGACAGUUGGGGGCAUUCGUAUUUCAUUGUCAGAGGUGAAAUUCUUGGAUUUAUGAAAGACGAACUUCUGCGAAAGCAUUUGCCAAGGAUGUUUUCA